Molecule: long non-coding RNA, 1177 nt
Filed under: Homo sapiens (human)
Lineage: Eukaryota; Metazoa; Chordata; Mammalia; Primates; Hominidae
Description: long intergenic non-protein coding RNA 1778
Source: RNAcentral
ACUGCGCCCUUGUUUGGACAAGACGAGGAGGCGCACUCAGAGUCAGAGACCCCGGGGCAGAGACAGGGGCAAGAAGAAGGGGCCACCGAGACCCCAAGAGAGUCAGGGAGACAGACGCACCAAACGACCGACACAACCAGGGACAGAGUCUCACUCUUGUCACCCAGGCUGGAGUGAAAUGACAUGAUCUCAGCUCACUGAAACUUCUGCCUCCCAGGUUCAAGCAAUUCUCCUGCCUCAGCCUCGCGAGUAGCUGGGAUUACAGAUAUCCUUCGAGUUGGAUUUCGACUGGGUUCUGCCAGUGGGAUGUAUCCAUGCGAGAUUCUGGAACUAACAUCAGAGAGAGUCCAAGCUUCUAACUUUUAUCAGCGGCAGUGACAAUAGUCAAGCAGCAUUGAUGACAAACGGCAAGAGUUUAGAAAGUACCAGUGACGUGCCUGAUAGAAUCUCACCACAAGAUGGAAGCCAACUCGUCAGAAGCCUGGAAAGCCCACCCAGCGUGGGACCUCUGUGGGUCCAGGAUCUUGGAAUGGUAUCCCAUGGUUCAAUCUUCUGGAUUCAACCACAUAAAUUUACCCCACCCAUGUCGUGGACCCAAGCUUCCUACCAUGUAUACUUAGCUUAAAUGCAAGAUAGUACUAUUUUGUUCAUCUUGAUUGGAGUGAGAAAUGAAUAGGUCCAUGCACAUAUAUUUCUUUUACCACAACAAGAUGAUGAAGAAAUAAAUCCAUAAUAUCGAUACUUUUGUAUAAGUUGUGUUUACAGUUGCGGUAAGAAAUUUUAUAAUUGUUGAUUUGCUUUAUAUAAUUUCUGCUUGCUUUUUAUGAUAUUUAAAACAAAAUCUAAGCAACAAAUUUUAUGUCUGAUUAGAUUUACAGAAGCUGCUUAAGUGCUUAGGGAUAAUUUGUUCAUCAUAUUUGUAAGUCUCCCUUGUUAGGUGUUUGAAGUGUUUGAAUUGGCUAAAUUAAAUUUGUAAUUGUAGUUUGAAAUAUCUAAAGGAAUUUUCUUAAUUAAGUGUUUAAAUGAUGUUAAAAGUUUGUGGGAAUUUAAUCUAUCAAAUUUAUGAGUUAAUUGAAUAUGAAUCAAUGAACAAGUAAAUGUGAUCUUGCUUUUAUAUAAAAACUACUAAGUUCAUAAAUAAAAUACAAAGAUCCAUAAGUUGAGAGGAAAAGCAAAA